UACAGAGGUCUCAAGCGUUGUUCGGAAUCACUGGGCGUAAAGGGUGCGUAGGCCGCACGGUAAGUCAGAGGUGAAAUCCCGGAGCUCAACUCCGGAAUGGCCUCCGAUACUGCCGUGCUCGAGGACUGGAGAGGAGUCUGGAAUUCACAGUGGAGCAGUGAAAUGCGUAGAUAUUGUGAGGAACACUAGUGGCGAAGGCGAGACUCUGGACAGUUCCUGACGCUGAGGCACGAAGGCCAGGGGGGCAAACGGG
RNAcentral lists this ribosomal RNA (253 nucleotides) under uncultured bacterium. RNAcentral describes it as "partial 16S ribosomal RNA". It matches the Rfam family "Bacterial small subunit ribosomal RNA", at positions 524 to 776 of the family's 1533-position model. The record is from RNAcentral.